RNAcentral lists this transfer RNA (61 nucleotides) under Alectorobius puertoricensis. Its description in RNAcentral is "tRNA-Leu". Lineage: Eukaryota; Metazoa; Arthropoda; Arachnida; Ixodida; Argasidae. The record is from RNAcentral.
GUUGAAGUGGCAGAAGAAAUGCAAGAAAUUUAAGCUUUCUUAAUGACCUAGUCCUUUAAUA